AAAGAGAAGUGCACCAGUUACUCGUACACAAGUAGUGGGUCAGAAAGUUAUUACAGUACAAAAGAGUGACUUUCAAAAGUUACUCGUACACAAAGAGUGCAUCAGAAAGAUAUUACAGUACAAAGGAGGAGUGCACCAGUAUUGUUAUUAGUUACUCGCACACAAAGAGAGGGUCAGAAAGAUGGUACAGUAGAAAUGAGGAGUGCACCAGUUACUUUUACACAAUGAGAGGGUCAGAAUGAGAAUACAGGACAAAAUAGAAGUGCGCCAGUUACUCGCACACAAGGAAAGGGUCA
Molecule: long non-coding RNA, 296 nt
Organism: Amphimedon queenslandica
Lineage: Eukaryota; Metazoa; Porifera; Demospongiae; Haplosclerida; Niphatidae
Exons: 6
Source: RefSeq, a predicted model, not a curated record